RNAcentral lists this ribosomal RNA (612 nucleotides) under uncultured bacterium. Its description in RNAcentral is "bacterial SSU rRNA". It matches the Rfam family "Bacterial small subunit ribosomal RNA", at positions 64 to 666 of the family's 1533-position model. The record is from RNAcentral.
GAGGGGCAGCGGGGUACUGCUUGCCCUACUGCCGGCCACCGGCGCACGGGUGAGUAACAGGUAUGGAACCUGCCCGCAGCAGGGGGAUAAGCGGAAGAAAUUCCGUCUAAUACCGCUGUAACAACGUUGGGAGGCAUCUCCCGAUGUUUAAAGAUUUAUCGGCUGCGGAUGGCCAUGCGGCGCAUUAGCUAGUCGGCGGGGUAACGGCCCACCGAGGCGACGAUGCGUAGGGGUUCUGAGAGGAAGGUCCCCCACACUGGUACUGAGACACGGACCAGACUCCUACGGGAGGCAGCAGUGAGGAAUAUUGGUCAAUGGCCGAGAGGCUGAACCAGCCAAGUCGCGUGAGGGAAGACGGCCCUACGGGUUGUAAACCUCUUUUGUCGGGGAGCAAAGCGAACCACGUGUGGUUCAUUGACAGUACCUGACCAAAAAGCCUCGGCUAACUCCGUGCCAGCAGCCGCGGUAAUACGGAGGAUGCGAGCGUUAUCCGGAUUUAUUGGGUUUAAAGGGUGCGCAGGCGGCGCUGCAAGUCUGCUGUCAAAGCCCGGGGCCCAACCCCGUGAUUCCAUUGGAAACUCCUCCGUUGGAGUGCCGGAGGGUUAAGCGGAA